RNAcentral lists this ribosomal RNA (468 nucleotides) under uncultured bacterium. Its description in RNAcentral is "partial 16S ribosomal RNA". It matches the Rfam family "Bacterial small subunit ribosomal RNA", at positions 28 to 507 of the family's 1533-position model. The record is from RNAcentral.
GACGAACGCUGGCGGCGUGCUUAACACAUGCAAGUCGAACGGAAAGGCCCUGCUUUUGUGGGGUGCUCGAGUGGCGAACGGGUGAGUAACACGUGAGUUACCUGCCCUUGACUUUGGGAUAACUUCAGGAAACUGGGGCUAAUACGGGAUAGGAGCUCCUGCUGCAUGGUGGGGGUUGGAAAGUUUCGGCGGUUGGGGGUGGGCUCGCGGCCUAUUAGCUUGUUGGUGGGGUAGUGGCUUACCAAGGCUUUGGGGGGAAGCCGGCCGGGGAGGGUGACCGGCCAAAUGGGACCGGGGAUACGGCCCGGACUCCUACGGGAGGCGGCGGUGGGGAAUUUUGCACAAGGGGCGGAGGCCUGUUGCGGCACCGCCGCGUGGGGGAUGACGGCCUUCGGUUUGUAACCCGCUUUCGCCUGUGACGAGGCGUGAGUGACGGUAAUGGGUAAAGAAGCACCGGCUAACUACGUG